CCUACGGGUGGCAGCAGUGGGGGAUAUUGCACAAUGGGCGGAACCCUGAUGCAGCGACGCCGCGUGGGUGAAGACGCGCCUCGGCGCGGAAAGCCCUGUCUGCAGGGAAGAAAAUGACGGUACCUGAAGAAGAAGCCCCGGCUAACUACGUGACAGGAGCCGCGGUAAUACGUAGGGGGCGAGCGUUAUCCGGAUUUACUGGGUGUAAAGGGGGCGCAGGCGGCGAUGCAAGCCAGGAGUGAAAGCCCGGGGCCCAACCCCGGGACUGCGCAUGGAACUGGGUGGCUGGAGUGCAGGAGGGGCAGGCGGAAUUCCUGGUGUAGCGGUGAAAUGCGUAGAUAUCAGGAGGAACACCGAUGGCGAAGGCGGCCUGCUGGACUGCAACUGACGUUGAGGCCCGAAAGCGUGGGGGGCGAACAGGAUUAGAUACCCCAGUAGUC
This 440-nucleotide ribosomal RNA is filed under the name uncultured bacterium. Its description in RNAcentral is "partial 16S ribosomal RNA". It matches the Rfam family "Bacterial small subunit ribosomal RNA", at positions 338 to 795 of the family's 1533-position model. The record is from RNAcentral.